RNAcentral lists this ribosomal RNA (513 nucleotides) under uncultured bacterium. RNAcentral's name for it is "partial 16S ribosomal RNA". It matches the Rfam family "Bacterial small subunit ribosomal RNA", at positions 28 to 523 of the family's 1533-position model. The record is from RNAcentral.
GAUGAACGCUGGCGGCGUGCCUAAUACAUGCAAGUCGAGCGAACAGACGAGGAGCUUGCUCCUCUGACGUUAGCGGCGGACGGGUGAGUAACACGUGGAUAACCUACCUAUAAGACUGGGAUAACUUCGGGAAACCGGAGCUAAUACCGGAUAGUAUAUUGAACCGCAUGGUUCAAUAGUGAAAGACGGUUUUGCUGUCACUUAUAGAUGGAUCCGCGCCGCAUUAGCUAGUUGGUAAGGUAACGGCUUACCAAGGCAACGAUGCGUAGCCGACCUGAGAGGGUGAUCGGCCACACUGGAACUGAGACACGGUCCAGACUCCUACGGGAGGCAGCAGUAGGGAAUCUUCCGCAAUGGGCGAAAGCCUGACUGAGCAACGCCGCGCGAGUGAUGAAGGUCUUCGGAUCGUAAGACUCUGUUAUUAGGGAAGAACAAAUGUGUAAGUAACUAUGCACGUCUUGACGGUACCUAAUCAGAAAGCCACGGCUAACUACGUGCCAGCCGCCGCCGUAA